UAUCAAUUUAAUAUCUGAUACAUCCUCCAUCCAAGGACAAUAUAUUAAAUGGAUUUUUAGAACAGGGAGGUAGAACAGGAGCUUGCUCUGUCCAUACCAUGCACUGGCCUGGGAUUGCAGUACUUCAAGGAAUGGUAC
RNAcentral lists this small nuclear RNA (138 nucleotides) under Dasypus novemcinctus (nine-banded armadillo). Its description in RNAcentral is "U2 spliceosomal RNA (ENSDNOG00000028131.1)". It matches the Rfam family "U2 spliceosomal RNA", at positions 47 to 185 of the family's 192-position model. From Rfam's summary of the family: U2 is a small nuclear RNA (snRNA) component of the spliceosome (involved in pre-mRNA splicing). Complementary binding between U2 snRNA (in an area lying towards the 5' end but 3' to hairpin I) and the branchpoint sequence (BPS) of the intron results the bulging out of an unpaired adenosine, on the BPS, which initiates a nucleophilic attack at the intronic 5' splice site, thus starting the first of two transesterification reactions that mediate splicing. Lineage: Eukaryota; Metazoa; Chordata; Mammalia; Cingulata; Dasypodidae. The record is from RNAcentral.